This 445-nucleotide ribosomal RNA is filed under the name uncultured bacterium. Its description in RNAcentral is "partial 16S ribosomal RNA". It matches the Rfam family "Bacterial small subunit ribosomal RNA", at positions 354 to 796 of the family's 1533-position model. The record is from RNAcentral.
GUGAGGAAUAUUGGACAAUGGGCGCAAGCCUGAUCCAGCCAUGCCGCGUGCAGGAAGACGCAUCUAUGGUGUGUAAACUGCUUUUGUACGGGAAGAAACACUCCCUCGUGAGGGAGCUUGGCGGUACCGUAAGAAUAAGGAUCGGCUAACUCCGUGCCAGCAGCCGCGGUAAUACGGAGGAUCCAAGCGUUAUCCGGAAUCAUUGGGUUUAAAGGGUCCGUAGGCGGUUUAAUAAGUCAGUGGUGAAAGCCCAUCGCUCAACGAUGGAACGGCCAUUGAUACUGUUAGACUUGAAUUACAAGGAAGUAACUAGAAUAUGUAGUGUAGCGGUGAAAUGCUUAGAUAUUACAUGGAAUACCAAUUGCGAAGGCAGGUUACUACUUGUGGAUUGACGCUGAUGGACGAAAGCGUGGGGAGCGAACAGGAUUAGAUACCCCUGUAGUCC